CGAAGCCUUAACUGACUUUGACUAUGUGGCUCAAAUGCAUUCACAGACACGCAUCGCAAUUGACGGAACUGAAAUCUUUAAGGUUUCAAUUGGCCGGGUUUUUUUUUUUUUUUGCAGCCCGUCGUGAUAAGCGCGAGAGCGCGGGCAAAGCCCAAACGUCGCGAGCUGCUUUUGCGACUAUAAAAGCAGCUGCCGGAGCUUGUUCUAGAUCAGAGUUAAAGAGACAACGCUUCAGCACAAAACCAAUUAUAAAAUAUAUAUAUAUAAACAACAUGCAAUUCGUCAAGAUCUGCGGCUUUGUUUUCGCCAUGAUUGUGGCCCUGGCCAGCGCCGAGCCAGAGCCUCAAGGCACGCUGCUGAUACAAACCAACAAUGCUCAGGGCAUUUUCACGGGCUAGAAAUGUCGCCAGACACACAUUCACUUUAAACAUAUCCUUUGAUCUAAUUUAAACACAAACUUUCCUUAAAAAAUGACAUUAAAAAACUCUUAAAACUUA
This is a long non-coding RNA of Drosophila montana, 497 nucleotides long. RefSeq lists it as uncharacterized. The transcript is spliced from 2 exons. The record is from RefSeq and is a predicted model, not a curated record. Lineage: Eukaryota; Metazoa; Arthropoda; Insecta; Diptera; Drosophilidae.